RNAcentral lists this unclassified non-coding RNA (315 nucleotides) under uncultured fungus. RNAcentral describes it as "sequence contains ITS1". The record is from RNAcentral. Lineage: Eukaryota; Fungi.
GUUUCGCCGACCCUCGGCGCGGACUCGAUCCGGGCCAGCAUCCUGGCCGGUCUCGUCGGCCUUGGGAUCACUCUGGUUUGCGUGCUGCUUUAUUACCGGUUCGUCGGCGUGAUCGCCUGUUUGGCGUUGCUGAUCAAUAUCGUUUUGUUGAUCGGCUCGUUCCAGCUCAUCCCGGGGGGAGUCGUCCUUACCUUACCGGGUAUCGCGGGCAUCAUCCUGACGAUUGGCCUCGCAGUGGACGCAAGCGUUCUGAUUUAUGAACGGCUUCGCGAAGAACUGGCGCUCGGGAAGUCGUUACAGGUCGCGAUGCAGGCG